This 818-nucleotide ribosomal RNA is filed under the name uncultured bacterium. RNAcentral describes it as "bacterial SSU rRNA". It matches the Rfam family "Bacterial small subunit ribosomal RNA", at positions 67 to 871 of the family's 1533-position model. The record is from RNAcentral.
CGAGAAGGGGACUUCGGUCCCUGAGUAGAGCGGCGCACGGGUGAGUAACGCGUGGAUUAUCUACCCAGAUAUUCGGGAUAACGGCGGGAAACUGCCGCUAAUACCGGAUACGCUCCAAUUUCGGUUGGGGGAAAGGCGGCCUCUGCUUGCAAGCUGUCGUAUCUGGAUGAGUCCGCGUCCCAUUAGCUUGUUGGUGGGGUAAUGGCCUACCAAGGCGACGAUGGGUAGCUGGUCUGAGAGGAUGAUCAGCCACACUGGAACUGAAACACGGUCCAGACUCCUACGGGAGGCAGCAGUGGGGAAUAUUGCGCAAUGGGGGAAACCCUGACGCAGCGACGCCGUGUGAGGGAAGAAGGCUUUCGGGUCGUAAACCUCUGUCGGGAGGGAAGAACCUUCCAGGCCUGAACAAGUCCUGGAACUGACGGUACCUCCAAAGGAAGCACCGGCUAACUCCGUGCCAGCAGCCGCGGUAAUACGGAGGGCGCAAGCGUUAAUCGGAAUCACUGGGCGUAAAGCGUGCGUAGGCUGCUUGAUAAGUCAGACGUGAAAUCCCUCGGCUCAACCGGGGAACUGCGUUUGAUACUGUCGAGCUAGAGUCCUGGAGAGGGUGGCGGAAUUCCUGGUGUAGGAGUGAAAUCCGUAGAUAUCAGGAGGAACACCGGUGGCGAAGGCGGCCACCUGGACAGGUACUGACGCUGAGGUACGAAAGCGUGGGGAGCAAACAGGAUUAGAUACCCUGGUAGUCCACGCGGUAAACGAUGGAUGCUAGGUGUCGGGGAGCGAUCUUCGGCGCCGCAGCUAACGCAUUAAGCAUCCCG